Molecule: long non-coding RNA, 526 nt
Organism: Camelus dromedarius (Arabian camel)
Lineage: Eukaryota; Metazoa; Chordata; Mammalia; Artiodactyla; Camelidae
Exons: 3
Source: RefSeq, a predicted model, not a curated record
GUCUACAGUGUAUAAAAGAAAGCACUGGAGUUCUGGAGAGGUGAGGCAGAACACGAAGGUAAACAGGAAUCGUUAUUCCUUUUCUGAGAGGUAUGUAAUCUACAGGGGAAGCAGGCAGCACCUGAAAGGGGAGGAGAGGUUGGUGGGCCAUGCAGGGUUGAAGGAGGAGCAUAGGAAUAUGGGUCUGGGAAAGUUUGGCUAGCUUUAGAGUGCUCAAUUGAAAUACUAGUUUGGAAUAUUUUCUCAACACCAGGGUUCAAGUUUGUUAGUCCUACUGAGACAUCAGGUCAGAAGAAAAGAACAAAAGUGAGAAGGCAUUCAUGGCUUUGCAUUCUCAGAAAGACAUCCUGCUGGUUCAACUGUAGUUUUAACGUGAGCUCUCCUCGGGCCUGGGAGAAAUUCUGAGAAUGACCCCUGAGAAUGAGCUCAGUGGUGAGAAGUCCAAGGACAGGAUGAGGUCGACAUUGCAAGUGUUUUUGGAAUAAGAAUCAACACACUUAAAGACUGGGAUUUGGAAGUGAGAAGG